UGAGAGUGGCGCACGGGUGCGUAACACGUAUGUAACCUACCUUAAUCUGGGGGAUAGCCUCUCGAAAGAGAGAUUAACACCGCAUAAUAUGUUUGAACAGCAUUGUUUAAACAUCAAAUAUUUAUAGGAUUAAGAUGGGCAUGCGGAACAUUAGCUAGUUGGUAAGGUAAUGGCUUACCAAGGCUACGAUGUUUAGGGGAUCUGAGAGGAUGACCCCCCACACUGGUACUGAGACACGGACCAGACUCCUACGGGAGGCAGCAGUAAGGAAUAUUGGUCAAUGGGCGCAAGCCUGAACCAGCCAUGCCGCGUGCAGGAAGACGGCCCUACGGGUUGUAAACUGCUUUUGUACCGGAAUAAACCUUGAUACGUGUAUCGAGCUGAAUGUACGGUAAGAAUAAGGAUCGGCUAACUCCGUGCCAGCAGCCGCGGUAAUACGGAGGAUCCAAGCGUUAUCCGGAUUUAUUGGGUUUAAAGGGUGCGUAGGUGGCCUGUUAAGUCAGGGGUGAAAGACGGUAGCUUAACUAUCGCAGUGCCUUUGAUACUGACGGGCUUGAAUACACUAGAGGUAGGCGGAAUGUGACAAGUAGCGGUGAAAUGCAUAGAUAUGUCACAGAACACCAAUUGCGAAGGCAGCUUACUAUGGUGUCAUUGACACUGAGGCACGAAA
This 670-nucleotide ribosomal RNA is filed under the name Mucilaginibacter phyllosphaerae. Its description in RNAcentral is "bacterial SSU rRNA". It matches the Rfam family "Bacterial small subunit ribosomal RNA", at positions 90 to 758 of the family's 1533-position model. The record is from RNAcentral. Lineage: Bacteria; Pseudomonadati; Bacteroidota; Sphingobacteriia; Sphingobacteriales; Sphingobacteriaceae.